Molecule: ribosomal RNA, 377 nt
Filed under: Quinella sp. 3Q1
Lineage: Bacteria; Bacillati; Bacillota; Negativicutes; Veillonellales; Veillonellaceae
Description: bacterial SSU rRNA
Rfam family: Bacterial small subunit ribosomal RNA
Source: RNAcentral
UUAUCGGAGAGUUUGAUCCUGGCUCAGGACGAACGCUGGCGGCGUGCUUAACACAUGCAAGUCGAACGGGCACUUCGGUGCUAGUGGCGAACGGGUGAGUAAAGCGCAGGUAAUCUGCCGCAAAGUCGGGGACAACGUUCCGAAAGGGACGCUAAUACCGGAUGUUGUGUAAGGUUCGCAUGGACUUUACACCAAAGAUUUAUCGCUUUGCGAGGAGCCUGCGUCCGAUUAGCUAGUUGGUGGUGUAAGAGACUACCAAGGCGACGAUCGGUAGCCGGUCUGAGAGGAUGAACGGCCACAAUGGAACUGAGACACGGUCCAUACUCCUACGGGAGGCAGCAGUGGGGAAUAUUCCACAAUGGGGGAAACCCUGAUGG